Molecule: ribosomal RNA, 253 nt
Filed under: uncultured bacterium
Lineage: Bacteria
Description: partial 16S ribosomal RNA
Rfam family: Bacterial small subunit ribosomal RNA
Source: RNAcentral
UACGUAGGGACCGAGCGUUGUCCGGAAUCAUUGGGCGUAAAGAGCGUGUAGGCGGCUAUUUAAGUCCUGCGUGAAAUCUUGCGGCUCAACCGCAAGCGGUCGUGGGAAACUGGGUGGCUAGAGUGCGGGAGAGGAGAGUGGAAUUCCUGGUGUAGCGGUGAAAUGCGCAGAUAUCAGGGAGAACACCCGUGGCGAAGGCGGCUCUCUGGGACGGUACUGACGCUGAGACGCGAAAGCGUGGGGAGCGAACAGG